RNAcentral lists this non-coding RNA (23 nucleotides) under Arabidopsis thaliana (thale cress). The record is from RNAcentral. Lineage: Eukaryota; Viridiplantae; Streptophyta; Magnoliopsida; Brassicales; Brassicaceae.
ACGUCCUACCAAACCCGUCUCGC